Oryza sativa Japonica Group (Japanese rice) is the source of this 3477-nucleotide long non-coding RNA. RefSeq lists it as uncharacterized. Lineage: Eukaryota; Viridiplantae; Streptophyta; Magnoliopsida; Poales; Poaceae. The record is from RefSeq and is a predicted model, not a curated record.
CGUUGAGCCUAUAUUUUAGUUGGGGUGUGACUAGGGGAGGCUCCUUUACAACUUUACAAAUGGACAAAACACACCCUUUGAGAAGGUAACUUAAAGAGGAGGUGAUAGUUGUUCAUUUCUCUUCUUUGGAGAACUCAUCAUGAGCUGUAUCGCUGAGAUUUUGAUGGAAGAUAAAAACUACUUUUGGAGGAUGAAUCACACUUGAUAUAUGUCUUUGGUUAUUGCUUUUCUAUUGUGGAGCUUCUUUUGUUGUUAUAAUCUUUUACCUUUCAUAAGAUAAUGAUUGUCAUAGAUAUAUGUAGUGUCGAUUCAACAGAUCUUUACACAAUAUUGAUGUUUCAGGGAAAAUUCAAUUGCCAAGGUAGGUUUGCAUAAUUAUAUUUUAGAUGUUUGAACACACAUGUUCAAAAAAGGAAAUAUGUCCAUUCAUAAAACACAUACUCGUGAAUAAAAGUUUAGCUUACAAAAUGAUCACAUGCAAUUUUACACGGCAUUGUGUUAGUUUGAAAGUACAAGCUAAAGUUGUGUUAAUUAUAUGUCAUCACUUGUCCAUGCAUGCUCUUCAUGUGUUAUUACAAAACGUACCCUUGACACUUUUACCAUUUUUUUAACCAUCCUUUUUUUCCCAUUUACUGUAUAGUCAAAGUUUCACAACCCAAACAAGCAAAAGUGAAGAGAAUUACAUGAAGGAGACGGCACUGAACUACAACGCGGAUGAACAAAUAAAAUUUAAUAUUAGGGCAUUCCUUUCAUGUAGUCUUGUUAAGAUUCUUUUCCCUUCUCUAGAGUGUUCUGGUGUUGUAGGCAACCACAGCUUAGUGGCUUCCUUUAUCAUGCCAAAUAAGAAAGAGAUAGGCCUCUGCUUUUGUUAGUGUUUCCCCGUGCAAAGGAGGAGUUUUAUUUUGUCACAAAAUUGAAAGGUAGCAACCAUUGUGACAUAUAAUACACCUUUUUUGCAUGGAGGAGGAGAAGAAAGCAUCUAUUCCAGCCCUGCCUUUUUGACAAUGCUUAGUUGUCCAAGAGGGGUUUGUUUAUAUCUCGCUUUACUGCAUGAUUAAACGGAAAACGCUGGUCAUUGUCCAUAUUAGCAAAAGCUUAAUUAGUUAACAGAUUCAUCUAGAAUCAACAUCUUGAGCCGCCCCGGGGUGGGGGGGGGACAGGUAUUUUGAUAUGUUUUUGUCACACAGGGAAAAGGAAAAUUCAGCCAUCCUUGAGAUAUCAUGCACUUGCUUAGCACUGAGAAAUUAAUUAGAUUGUAUGCCUUUAUUGGAGAACUAACUUCUACAUUGUCUCAUGGCUUAUGUGCAUGCUGAGGUAAUGAACCGCUAUACAAAGAUGUAAACGUAAGUGGCAAAAAUGAAGCCGGAGAGAGAUGCACAUCUUGGUGAUAAGAGAUUGCGACAUCGUAGCCAUCCUGAUUUCUGCAGUUCUCAUUCAAGAAAAGGAAAAGGAGACUUUGACCCAUCGACUUUUUAACACCGUCGAUUUCAGGAACAAAAAAAAGAAAAAGCCAUCACGGUCAGGAGUGGUUCACGUCGUCGUCUGGUGAGUUCUUGUUGAGUUCUGGGAGGAGUGAAGAAUAUGGCGGCCUCGGCCGGCGUCAGUGACGAGCACGUAUGCGGUAGCACAGCAGCGACAGAAAAUAUUCAGAAAUAGAAGGGAUGCAUGCAGAGAGAUAGGUCAACUUUAUACACGGUUUCGAUGUUGUUGGACGGACGGACUGAGAGAUGAUGGGCUGGCCCAAGCCUAUUACACUACGGCCCAAGAAACCGCGCGCGUUCCUUAAGCAUAUACUCGUGGUCAAAUUUGUAAGCACCUGCAAGGCUGCAAACACAUUGCAGCCGCACAAAGUUAGCCGGAUCUGAUUCCACCGACGGUUGAGAUGGGCCGACGGCAUGUAGAGGAGGAACCGGAGAGUCGACAGAGAACGACAUGGAGUCAAAGACAAAUAUCCGUUCAUGUCCCAUCCCAGUUACUACUAGCUGUGUGUAGCAUAGUUGCAUAUACUGUUCGCCGAUGGAUCAUGUGAGGACUGGACUGAGGCGCGUGAACAAGAAAACAAAACCACUCCUCCUUCCAUCGAUUUUGGUAGCAUGCAUGAUUGGCAUUCUCGGCCAAGGCCCAUCGUUUUAAUUUGUUUUGAAAAAAAAUAAAGAAGUUAUUGUCACCUGAAUUUUUUCUAUGGGUGUGUUUGUUUUGCUACCAUAUCAAAAUGUUGGUACUACCAAAACCUAGACAAGUUUUGGUAGUGCCAAAAUUUUGGUAACCAAACACUAACAAAAUACUAUUUAAAGUGUCAAACAAUUUGGUAGGGCACAUUUUAGCUUCAAACCAAAAUGGCCCUAUAGCAAUAUAGGUGAUGUUUCUCAAUUAAAUUAACUAAAGAUGAAAUAUAUACGUCACAUUUUAGGUACAGAGUGGAUGAGUGGGUAAGCUACACAGUGUUGAUAGUGCAACUAAAUAAUUAACAGGAUUAUAUAAUACAAUUUUACAUAGCCGCCACUAUGUAUGACCAAAUAUACAUUGCCUGAAACAUAUAUAUCAUCGCCUUGUUUUUAGACUGACAGGUCAUUAGUCUUAGAUAUAAAAGUUGGUACAUGUUUUUGAAACCUAAAAAGUUGGUAAGUGUGGGGAUUUAUGAAUCUAGCUUUGUUUACUAAAGAUUUUAUAAAGACCAACAACCGGCAUCCACGCCUGAGAGGAGCUAACCCACGCAUGAAUAUAAUGGCAAUUCGAUAAGAUAUGAUGGGGCUUAAUUCUAUCCUAGCUCUAGAGAAUCAAUUUAGAGGUUUGCUCUUGGCCUAACAAACGAAUAAGCGGAUCGAGGUAUAUAUUCAAAGGAUAGAUGAUAUGGCUUUUCUGCUAACUUGUUCCCAUUUGGCGUUAUUAGUCAAUUUUUUUUAUCAUUAUUAGUCAUUUUUAAUACUAGUACUUCAUUUGCUUACUUCUUUAUUUACUCGUCACAUCAAAUUCCCCAUUUAUUUUUUUCUUAACUUUUACUUGCUUCCUCUUCCCUAUGUAUAAAAAUAUGCUACUAUCUCCGUUGUAAAAUAUAGCAACAUGUAUCAUUCAGAUCUGUACUAAGACCGUGUUUAGUUCACCCCCAACUAUCUCCAACUUCUAACUUUCCAUCACAUCACAUCACAUCCAAAACUUUUCUACACACAUAAACUUCCAACUUUUUUUCAAACUUCCAACUUUCCUCAAAAUUCCAACUUUUUUCAGGAACUAAACACAGCCUAAAUUCAGUAAUAAAAUGUUGUAUUUGACGAUAGAGGUAGUAGGACUUAUCAAGAUCAUCUUGCCAUGCUGCAUUACCACCCCCCAUUUGUAAACACUAGGACUUUUAGGCGCGCUUCGCGGCGCCCUACCAUUCAUUAAUUAAGAGCUAUGUAGCUUAUAGAUGGUAAUAGGGAAACAUUUCAUUAAGAGCUAUGUAGCUUCAAAGCAGAGCAAAUAGCAUGACUAUGAGAGAGA